CCUACGGGAGGCAGCAGUAGGGAAUUUUCGUCAAUGGGGGAAACCCUGAACGAGCAAUGCCGCGUGAGUGAAGAAGGUCUUCGGAUCGUAAAGCUCUGUUGUAAGUGAAGAACGGCUCAUAGAGGAAAUGCUAUGGGAGUGACGGUAGCUUACCAGAAAGCCACGGCUAACUACGUGCCAGCAGCCGCGGUAAUACGUAGGUGGCAAGCGUUAUCCGGAAUCAUUGGGCGUAAAGGGUGCGUAGGUGGCGUACUAAGUCUGUAGUAAAAGGCAAUGGCUCAACCAUUGUAAGCUAUGGAAACUGGUAUGCUGGAGUGCAGAAGAGGGCGAUGGAAUUCCAUGUGUAGCGGUAAAAUGCGUAGAUAUAUGGAGGAACACCAGUGGCGAAGGCGGUCGCCUGGUCUGUAACUGACACUGAGGCACG
This 424-nucleotide ribosomal RNA is filed under the name uncultured Duodenibacillus sp. RNAcentral's name for it is "bacterial SSU rRNA". It matches the Rfam family "Bacterial small subunit ribosomal RNA", at positions 338 to 755 of the family's 1533-position model. The record is from RNAcentral. Lineage: Bacteria; Pseudomonadati; Pseudomonadota; Betaproteobacteria; Burkholderiales; Sutterellaceae.